CAGCCACCUAGCCUCUGUGCUGCUUGCUGCCACAGAAGAGGGAGGUUCUUGGUUGUGGUUUGAGUGUGGAGGGUUUC
Long non-coding RNA from Zingiber officinale, 77 nucleotides. RefSeq lists it as uncharacterized. The transcript has 3 exons. The record is from RefSeq and is a predicted model, not a curated record. NCBI's taxonomy places the organism in Eukaryota, Viridiplantae, Streptophyta, Magnoliopsida, Zingiberales, Zingiberaceae.